This 253-nucleotide ribosomal RNA is filed under the name uncultured bacterium. RNAcentral's name for it is "partial 16S ribosomal RNA". It matches the Rfam family "Bacterial small subunit ribosomal RNA", at positions 524 to 776 of the family's 1533-position model. The record is from RNAcentral.
GACGAGCAUCACAAACGUUAUUCGGAAUUACUGGGCUUAAAGGGUGCGUAGGCGGUGCAGCGAGUCGGGAGUGAAAUCCCACAGCUCAACUGUGGAAUUGCUUUCGAUACUGCUGUGCUUGAGUGAGACAGAGGUAAGCGGAACUUAGGGUGGAGCGGUGAAAUGCGUUGAUAUCCUAAGGAACACCGGUGGCGAAGGCGGCUUACUGGGUCUCUACUGACGCUGAUGCACGAAAGCCAGGGUAGCGAACGGG